RNAcentral lists this ribosomal RNA (483 nucleotides) under uncultured bacterium. RNAcentral's name for it is "bacterial SSU rRNA". It matches the Rfam family "Bacterial small subunit ribosomal RNA", at positions 28 to 506 of the family's 1533-position model. The record is from RNAcentral.
GAUGAACGCUAGCGGCAGGCUUAACACAUGCAAGUCGAGGGGCAGCACUUGUAGCAAUACAUGGUGGCGACCGGCGCAAGGGUGCGUAACGCGUGAGCAACAUGCCCGUAUCAGGGGGAUAAUCCAGGGAAACUUGGUCUAAUACCCCAUAGCAAUUAUUUGAGGCAUCUUAAAUAAUUUAAAGCUUUGGUGGAUACGGAUUGGCUCGCGUGACAUUAGCUAGAUGGUAAGGUAACGGCUUACCAUGGCUACGAUGUCUAGGGGUUUUGAGAGGAAGAUCCCCCACACUGGAACUGAGACACGGUCCAGACUCCUACGGGAGGCAGCAGUGAGGAAUAUUGGACAAUGGAUGGAAAUCUGAUCCAGCCAUGCCGCGUGCAGGAAGACGGCCCUAUGGGUUGUAAACUGCUUUUGUGUGGGAGCAAUAAGGUCUAUGCGUAGACUGAUGAGAGUACCAUACGAAUAAGCAUCGGCUAACUCCGU